RNAcentral lists this ribosomal RNA (1154 nucleotides) under Levilactobacillus brevis. RNAcentral describes it as "bacterial SSU rRNA". It matches the Rfam family "Bacterial small subunit ribosomal RNA", at positions 30 to 1165 of the family's 1533-position model. Lineage: Bacteria; Bacillati; Bacillota; Bacilli; Lactobacillales; Lactobacillaceae. The record is from RNAcentral.
CGAACUGGCGGGAUGCUAUACAUGCAGUCGAACGAGCUUCCGUUGAAUGACGUGCUUGCACUGAUUUCAACAAUGAAGCGAGUGGCGAACUGGUGAGUAACACGUGGGAAAUCUGCCCAGAAGCAGGGGAUAACACUUGGAAACAGGUGCUAAUACCGUAUAACAACAAAAUCCGCAUGGAUUUUGUUUGAAAGGUGGUUUCGGCUAUCACUUCUGGAUGAUCCCGCGGCGUAUUAGUUAGUUGGUGAGGUAAAGGCCCACCAAGACGAUGAUACGUAGCCGACCUGAGAGGGUAAUCGGCCACAUUGGGACUGAGACACGGCCCAAACUCCUACGGGAGGCAGCAGUAGGGAAUCUUCCACAAUGGACGAAAGUCUGAUGGAGCAAUGCCGCGUGAGUGAAGAAGGGUUUCGGCUCGUAAAACUCUGUUGUUAAAGAAGAACACCUUUGAGAGUAACUGUUCAAGGGUUGACGGUAUUUAACCAGAAAGCCACGGCUAACUACGUGCCAGCAGCCGCGGUAAUACGUAGGUGGCAAGCGUUGUCCGGAUUUAUUGGGCGUAAAGCGAGCGCAGGCGGUUUUUUAAGUCUGAUGUGAAAGCCUUCGGCUUAACCGGAGAAGUGCAUCGGAAACUGGGAGACUUGAGUGCAGAAGAGGACAGUGGAACUCCAUGUGUAGCGGUGGAAUGCGUAGAUAUAUGGAAGAACACCAGUGGCGAAGGCGGCUGUCUAGUCUGUAACUGACGCUGAGGCUCGAAAGCAUGGGUAGCGAACAGGAUUAGAUACCCUGGUAGUCCAUGCCGUAAACGAUGAGUGCUAAGUGUUGGAGGGUUUCCGCCCUUCAGUGCUGCAGCUAACGCAUUAAGCACUCCGCCUGGGGAGUACGACCGCAAGGUUGAAACUCAAAGGAAUUGACGGGGGCCCGCACAAGCGGUGGAGCAUGUGGUUUAAUUCGAAGCUACGCGAAGAACCUUACCAGGUCUUGACAUCUUCUGCCAAUCUUAGAGAUAGACGUUCCCUUCGGGGACAGAUGACAGGUGUGCAUGGUUGUCGUCAGCUCGUGUCGUGAGAUGUGGGUAGUCCGCACGAGCGCACCCUUAUUAUCAGUGCCAGCAUUCAGUGGGCACCUCUGGUGAGACUGCCGGUGACAAACCC